RNAcentral lists this small RNA (30 nucleotides) under Bombyx mori (domestic silkworm). RNAcentral's name for it is "ovarian small RNA-35512". The record is from RNAcentral. Lineage: Eukaryota; Metazoa; Arthropoda; Insecta; Lepidoptera; Bombycidae.
UGUAUGUGCCUGUAGGACCUGUUAGGUCGC